AGAGUUUGAUCAUGGCUCAGGACGAACGCUGGCGGCGUGCUUAACACAUGCAAGUCGAACGGAAAGGCCCUGCUUUGUGGGGUGCUCGAGUGGCGAACGGGUGAGUAACACGUGAGUAACCUGCCCUUGACUUUGGGAUAACUUCAGGAAACUGGGGCUAAUACCGGAUAGGAGCUCCUGCUGCAUGGUGGGGGUUGGAAAGUUUCGGCGGUUGGGGAUGGACUCGCGGCUUAUCAGCUUGUUGGUGGGGUAGUGGCUUACCAAGGCUUUGACGGGUAGCCGGCCUGAGAGGGUGACCGGCCACAUUGGGACUGAGAUACGGCCCAGACUCCUACGGGAGGCAGCAGUGGGGAAUAUUGCACAAUGGGCGGAAGCCUGAUGCAGCAACGCCGCGUGCGGGAUGACGGCCUUCGGGUUGUAAACCGCUUUCGCCUGUGACGAAGCGUGAGUGACGGUAAUGGGUAAAGAAGCACCGGCUAACUACGUG
This 487-nucleotide ribosomal RNA is filed under the name uncultured bacterium. RNAcentral describes it as "bacterial SSU rRNA". It matches the Rfam family "Bacterial small subunit ribosomal RNA", at positions 8 to 507 of the family's 1533-position model. The record is from RNAcentral.